AACCUUUUAGUUUAAGACUAAAAUUCCAAUUUUGUAGUUUGGUGAUGGCAAAUUGCCAGAGGUUA
RNAcentral lists this transfer RNA (65 nucleotides) under Brueelia antiqua. RNAcentral describes it as "tRNA-Thr". The record is from RNAcentral. Lineage: Eukaryota; Metazoa; Arthropoda; Insecta; Psocodea; Philopteridae.